RNAcentral lists this ribosomal RNA (492 nucleotides) under uncultured bacterium. Its description in RNAcentral is "partial 16S ribosomal RNA". It matches the Rfam family "Bacterial small subunit ribosomal RNA", at positions 29 to 507 of the family's 1533-position model. The record is from RNAcentral.
AGUGAACGCUGGCGGUAGGCCUAACACAUGCAAGUCGAACGGCAGCACAGUAAGAGCUUGCUCUUACGGGUGGCGAGUGGCGGACGGGUGAGGAAUACAUCGGAAUCUACUUUUUCGUGGGGGAUAACGUAGGGAAACUUACGCUAAUACCGCAUACGACCUACGGGUGAAGGCAGGGGAUCUUCGGACCUUGCGCGAUUGAAUGAGCCGAUGUCGGAUUAGCUAGUUGGCGGGGUAAAGGCCCACCAAGGCGACGAUCCGUAGCUGGUCUGAGAGGAUGAUCAGCCACACUGGAACUGAGACACGGUCCAGACUCCUACGGGAGGCAGCAGGGGGGAAUAUUGGACAAUGGGCGCAAGCCUGAUCCAGCCAUACCGCGUGGGUGAAGAAGGCCUUCGGGUUGUAAAGCCCUUUUGUUGGGAAAGAAAAGCAGCAGGUUAAUACCCCGCUGUUCUGACGGUACCCAAAGAAUAAGCACCGGCUAACUUCGUG